Long non-coding RNA from Myxocyprinus asiaticus (Chinese sucker), 1244 nucleotides. RefSeq lists it as uncharacterized. Lineage: Eukaryota; Metazoa; Chordata; Actinopteri; Cypriniformes; Catostomidae. The record is from RefSeq and is a predicted model, not a curated record. The transcript is spliced from 6 exons.
CCUUAGGAAGUCAAAUGCCAGACCAAUAUCCUGUUUCUCCAUUCCGGUGCUUGACUUUGGCUGCUGCCCCACUGGAAAUGGAUUACACUAACCCUGUGUGUGCUGCCACUGGUGUGUUAGAGGAAGACUCCAAAAAGAAUAAGCAAUGGUUGGGUAUUUCUUCUUGCGUGCAGCACGGCUAGCUACUGUAUGCCAGUUCCACACGGCGCUCUAUUUAUAGCUGGGUUCUGUUUUCAUUUAAAAUAGCCAUAUGCUGUUAGGCCUUUGUCAGAUAAGAUAAGCAGCCUUUAGCUCGCAAAACCUCAGACGCGGACUGCGCCUAAAACAGCAAACAGAACAAUGCAAAAAUGGGGCUAGACCUGGAAAAGACAACAGGGAAGGAGACUCAUGAAACUGCAAGCUAGGCAUGCACUUGAGUGUAGACAUCAUAGCGGAGGGACAUUACACAUGCGUCAUCCAUCUAACAGAACAUAAAGUACUUCAAGUCCACGAGCAGAUGAAAAGUUUCUGGGCUACGACAUCACCGCUGUCUACCAGACGCCUUUAAGAAGAGGGCUCAUUCUGCUGAACGACGGGACAGCCCAGAAUCUGAGCCGGACUUGAGUAAGACGGUCUGGACUGAGGUGGGGGAAGGGUUGACUGACUGUCUGCCCGCUUCAGCCCGCAGUGGACCAAUUCCCAGCAAUAACACCAGCAGACGUACAUGCAGCUUUGAUACCUAUUUGAUGACUUAGUAGGAAAUAAAGGAUGAUUCACUGUUCCUUUUAGCAGAUGCCACAUCAACAGAUUUGCCAAGUACUCCAAGGCUGAUCAUGCUGGGUUCAUUGUGAGAAUCAAUCCAGACAAAAGCAAGUGCUCCAGAUCACCAACAGAAGUGGCAAGACUGUGAAAAGAAAGAACUCUGACCUGAAUCCUCGUGUCGCCUACUUCAUCAGGGAUCCAAGUUUGCAAAAUUAUUAAUCUACAACAGCAGAGUACGUUGUGCUCAGGAGAGUUUAUGUAAGAAAGUAUUUAAGUGAAUAACUAUAAAAUAAAACAAUCUUAAAGUUAAAAUGUCAUUGCAAGAAUGAAAAUGCUUACAUGCCUGUGGUUUAUUAGUAUGGACAUACAGAAAUGUUUAAAUAAUUUAAAGCUCUAAGUGAAACUGUAAGGAGUGGGAAUGUAGCUCAUUAUGAUACAAUAAAAAUAACUGAUUUUAAUGAUUUGGCAGCAUUUUGAAGAUCCACUGAACAAUAAAACAUUUA